AUUCGCUCUCCCUACCUAUCCCCACACCUCUCCUACCCCUUCCAGGUCAUGUGGCUGACCCCAAACGAGGGGAUUAGGGGCACCUAGAGAUGAGAGGGACUUUGGUUUGUUAGUUGAAAUAAGCAACUUCUUUGGGCAAGGUGAAGUAGUUGGGGUGUCGUGGAUUCAAGACCAUCUUGGAAAACCCAGUAGUUCUCUACUAUAACUAACUCCACACUGGGUCAUUAGAAGCAAUUACUGAAGUGCCAAAGGAUACAGGAUGAAUGGUCUUCCCAGUAAUGUCUUUUGAAAAUGCUUUGUCUUGAACUGUUUUUUCUGUUAAGGUGAGUUGUUAUAUCUGGAUAAUGGUAGAUCGUGAAUUUAUUGAGAGAAAUAAUGCAGUUGGACCUCGAAUAUUAAUCAAUUAGACAGAAUUGUAUCCAGAUCCUCUCUAUAUGAGGCCCCAGAGCUUGAGCUGCAGCUUCUAGGUUGACUUGCUUACUUACAGGAAAUUAAGUAGAGGCCCUCCAUCCCUGCUUUUCCUUGUCGUGGUUACCAAGGGCUAUGUAGCAGAGAGCACAACUACACGGAAAUGAGGGGUAGUUGUUCCAGAGUGACGGUUAGCUAGCCCUAUAAAAAUAGGCCCUAGAAUGAGGAGGCGUCUCAGAUUGUGGGAAUAUCCCACUGAGGGGACCAGGGACUGUUAGAUAGAGGUCCAUUGAGGAAGAGUUCUGCCUCAGUCUUAUGUUUUGUAGAUGGGAUCAUUUUAAUCACCACAAUGUCUAUUAGAGUGUGUGACAAAAUGUUGGAAAAGAAUAUUGAAAGAGAUAUAUUUUAUAAGAAAAAAAUAAUAAUGAUACAUGAUCAACUAUUGGGAGAAAAGUAUAACAAAAUCCUCUUAAGAGAUCUUUGUGAGGUUCCUUUGUUCUUCCUAUAUAACCUGUUAAAAACUCUCACCAGCUCUGCUGACAGUAUUGUGAGAUUCUAUAAUGCUGCAGUUUCAGGAACCAGGACCUCUCUCAGCCAAUGUAAGAAAAUGUGUGGGUUAAAAUUUAAGUGACUACUGCAUUGUAUCAGAGAUCAUUUAGAAAAUCACAGAAUUAUAUGCUGUUAAUUAAUAUACCUAUCAGCCAAAGUAAGGAAAUUUCUGGAUAAAAUUUAAGUGACUACUGCAUUUUAUCAGAGAUCAUUUAGAAAAUCAUAGAAUUACAUGCAGUUAAUUAGUAUACCUAGCAGCCAAAGUAAGGAAAUUUGUGGGUAAAAUUUAAGUAAUUGCCACAUUUUAUCAGAGAUCAUUUAGAAAAUCAUAGAAAUAUAUGCUGUUAAUUAGUAUUUAAGGAAAUUUGUAGGUACAAUUUAAGUAACUACUGCAUUUUAUCAGAAAUCAUUUAGAAAAUCAUAGAAUUACAUGCUGUUAAUUAAUAUACCUAUCAGCCAAAGUAAGGAAAUUUGUGGGUAAAAUUUAAGUGACUACUGCAUUUUAUCAGAGAUCAUUUAGAAAAUCACAGAAUUACAUGCUGUUAAUUAAUAUACCUAUCAGCCAAAGUAAGGAAAUUUGUGGGUAAAAUUUAAGUAAUUGCCACAUUUUAUCAGAGAUCAUUUAGAAAAUCAUAGAAAUAUAUGCUGUUAAUUAGUAUUUAAGGAAAUUUGUAGGUACAAUUUAAGUAACUACUGCAUUUUAUCAGAAAUCAUUUAGAAAAUCAUAGAAUUACAUGCCGUUAAUUAAUAUACCUAUCAGCCAAAGUAAGGAAAUUUGUGGGUAAAAUUUAAGUGACUACUGCAUUUUAUCAGAGAUCAUUUAGAAAAUCACAGAAUUACAUGCUGUUAAUUAAUAUACCUAUCAGCCAAAGUAAGGAAAUUUGUGGGUAAAAUUUAAGUGACUAUUUUAUUUUAUCAGAGAUCAUUUAGAAAAUCACAGAAUUACAUGCUGUUAAUUAAUAUACCUAUCAGCCAAAGUAAGGAAAUUUGUGGGUAAAAUUUAAGUGACUACUGCAUUUUAUCAGAGAUCAUUUAGAAAAUCAUAGAAUUACAUGCAGUUAAUUAGUAUACCUAUCAGCCAAAGUAAGGAAAUUUGUGGGUAAAAUUUAAGUGACUACUGCAUUUUAUCAGAGAUCAUUUAGAAAAUCACAGAAUUACAUGCUGUUAAUUAAUAUACCUAUCAGCCAAAGUAAGGAAAUUUGUGGGUAAAAUUUAAGUAACUACUGCAUUUUAUCAGAAAUCAUUUAGAAAAUCACAGAAAUAUAUGCUGUUAAUUAGUAUACCUAGCAGCCAAAGUAAGGAAAUUUGUGGGUAAAAUUUAAGUGACUACUGCAUUUUAUCAGAGAUCAUUUAGAAAAUCACAGAAUUACAUGCUGUUAAUUAAUAUACCUAUCAGCCAAAGUAAGGAAAUUUGUGGGUAAAAUUUAAGUGAGUAUUUUAUUUUAUCAGAGAUCAUUUAGAAAAUUACAAAAUUAUAUGCAGUUAAUUAGUAUACCUAGCAGCCAAAGUAAGGAAAUUUGUGGGUAAAAUUUAAGUAAUUACCGCAUUUCAUCAGAGAUCAUUUAGAAAAUCAUAGAAAUAUAUGCUGUUAAUUAGUAUUUAAGGAAAUUUGUAGGUAAAAUUUAAGUAACUACUGCAUUUUAUCAGAAAUCAUUUAGAAAAUCACAGAAAUAUAUGCUGUUAAUUAGUAUUUAAGGAAAUUUGUAGGUAAAAUGUAAGUUACUACUGCAUUUUAUCAGAAAACAUUUAGAAAAUUACAAAAUUAUAUGCAGUUAAUUAGUAUACCUAGCAGCCAAAGUAAGGAAAUUUGUGGGUAAAAUUUAAGUGACUACUGCAUUUUAUCAGAGAUCAUUUAGAAAAUCAUAGAAAUAUAUGCUGUUAAUUAGUAUUUAAGGAAAUUUGUAGGUAAAAUUUAAGUAACUACUGCAUUUUAUCAGAAAUCAUUUAGAAAAUUACAAAAUUAUAUGCAGUUAAUUAGUAUACCUAGCAGCCAAAGUAAGGAAAUUUGUGGGUAAAAUUUAAGUAAUUGCCACAUUUUAUCAGAGAUCAUUUAGAAAAUCAUAGAAAUAUAUGCUGUUAAUUAGUAUUUAAGGAAAUUUGUA
Molecule: long non-coding RNA, 3059 nt
Organism: Sarcophilus harrisii (Tasmanian devil)
Lineage: Eukaryota; Metazoa; Chordata; Mammalia; Dasyuromorphia; Dasyuridae
Exons: 2
Source: RefSeq, a predicted model, not a curated record